AGAGUAUCAGAGACGUAACAUCCUUAACUGUUUGUGGUGAUAAAAGUGAAGUUUGUUUUUUAAUACUUACCACGAAUCACUUGAUUAUUUUUUUCGUGCUUGCUCAUCUUCAUCAUUAUUUUCAAAAAUCAAUUCAUGUUUCAUUUUGCAAAAAUGUUAGGCUAAAAUUUGUCCAAAUUUGAGGAACGGUUACAGGUGCUAUUUGUUUUAAAGUUUUUUUUUUUAAAAAAAAUAAUAAUUCAAGCGUGCGUCCAUCCACAAACAGAAAAAAGGCGAGAAAAGUUUUUGCAAACAUUUCUACGUCCGGAGGUGCAAAUUAGUGAUACUCAGUGAAAGUUUGGAGAGGAUACUCACAUUUCACGUUAAAAAAGAAUGGGCGUGCUUUUCCCUACUGACUCAGUUGACGUCAACGGUAAUUGCUUGACCCCUGAGCGAGCUCCCGCUGCGAAACCACCUUUCACGCUUGCCGAUCUCCGGAAGGCUGUGCCGCCACACUGUUUUGAACGGAACCUCUUACGCUCUUUCAAAUACGUCUUUUAUGAUCUCUCUGCUCUCUUUGCUAUUGCGUACGCAGCCAGUUUCAUCCCCUUGCUACCCCUCCGGUUGCAGUAUGUCCUCUGGCCUACCUACUGGCUCGUUGCCGGCACGCUCAUGCUCGGUGUUUGGAUCUUAGGUCAUGAAUGCGGUCACCACGCAUUCAGUGACUACCGAUGGGUCGACGACCUGGUGGGGUUCGUGCUUCAUUCCUGCAUGCUGACUCCAUACUUCUCGUGGAAGCUCUCCCACGCCCGCCACCACGCCAACUCGGCCUCCAUGGAGCGCAACGAAGUCUACGUAGCCCGCAAGCGGGAGUCCGUGCCCUGGUUCGUCAGGUACUUUAACAAUGCCCCCGGACGCAUCUUCAACCUCACCGUCUCCCUCCUUGUUGGCUGGCCACUCUACCUCACCUCAACGUCUCCGGACGGAAUUACGAUAAAUUCGCCAACCACUUCUACCCCUCGAGCCCGAUCUACCCGGAAUCCAAGCGCUUCCUGAUCUUCUUGUCCGACGUGGGGGUGGCGGCCGCCUCCUACGGGCUCUGCCAGCUGGCCCUGACGCACGGACUCCCUUGGCUCCUCGGCAUGUACGCCGCCCCCCUCCUCGUCUGCAACGCCUGGCUCGUCACCGUCACGUACCUCAACCACACGCACCCCGCCCUCCCCCACUACGACUCCUCCGAAUGGGACUGGCUACGCGGUGCCCUCUCCACCGUCGACCGGGACUUCGGCUUCCUGAACCACGUCUUCCACCACGUCACCGACUCCCACAUCGCCCACCACCUCUUCCCGCAGAUGUCCCACUACCACACCGUCGAGGCCACCAAGGCUCUGAGGCCGAUUCUCGGCGAGUACUUUGUCUUCGAUGGCACGCCCAUCUGGGAAUCCCUGUACAGGGAGACUAAGAAGUGCGUCUGUGUUGAGCCUGAUGAGCGUAGCAAGGGCGUUUGGUGGUUCAGUGAUAAAUUGGAGUAAUCCCUUGCUCUCCACGAGUUUUCAGAUAGGUAGAAACGAAUUUUUAAAUAUUCAUGGACGCUGAAUUUAGGAUUUUGCUAAUUUGUAUAAAUUUAGGGAUUUUAAAAUAAUUGACUUCCAGUGAAUUUAAGAUGUACUUAAUGUUAUAAAGCUAUGGCUCACUCAGCUUCGGAGAAAGUUUGGAACUUUUUGUUGAGAUUAGAUUUUGGGUGACUUUAAAAGUUAAGGGAUUUACGAUGUACAAACGAGCUUUUUCCCUCUGUAUUGAGAUUUUCAGCUUCAUGCUGAAUUUUUAACGCACGUUGGCAAAUACUCGAACACACUGAUAUAGGAUAGUUUAGAUAUUCUGAAGAUUUUGAUCAUUCUUUACUUUCAUAGUUAUCACUCAUAGAUACGGGCAAAAAGUUUGAAGGCUGUUGUUGUGAUGUUGUCAAAAAAUUGUGUAAAGAUUAAUUGGUUCCUUUAAAAAUGUGUUUAUGUGUAUUUGAAAUAAGGAAAACUGUGAUAAAUUGAUGAAAUGAUACUUCUAUAAUCCUAAAUAGGAUAAUGAGGUCAUUCAGGUCAUCUGGCUGUGUUUUAUGCGUAUAUUACUUGUUAACCAGUAUUCCAUGUGUAAGACUAUUCUUUAGGUUUAAAAAUUAAAUAAAACAUUAUUUAU
RNAcentral lists this long non-coding RNA (2169 nucleotides) under Bemisia tabaci. RNAcentral's name for it is "lncRNA ENSSWEETPG012264". The record is from RNAcentral. Lineage: Eukaryota; Metazoa; Arthropoda; Insecta; Hemiptera; Aleyrodidae.